RNAcentral lists this unclassified non-coding RNA (219 nucleotides) under Aliivibrio wodanis. RNAcentral's name for it is "putative sRNA". Lineage: Bacteria; Pseudomonadati; Pseudomonadota; Gammaproteobacteria; Vibrionales; Vibrionaceae. The record is from RNAcentral.
GGUGUUCAUUUCAUCAGGUUCGGCAUUGAACUAUUAUUGAUCUAAAUUCAGGCGUUUCAGCGACUAAUUUACGCUUCAAUUGUUCUUUGGUUAUGCCUCAUUUUAGCCUGUGACAGUGUUUUGCUCGCAGCAUUUUCAAUCCCAAUUGUGGUUAGGAUAUUUGGUUUAUCAGUUCCAAACUGGCUGAAACCAAAUCGUUCAAAUGGUGUAAGAUAAAAG